This 19-nucleotide microRNA is filed under the name Ophiophagus hannah (king cobra). RNAcentral describes it as "oha-miR-34a-3p". Its record names the gene oha-miR-34a-3p. The record is from miRBase by way of RNAcentral. Lineage: Eukaryota; Metazoa; Chordata; Lepidosauria; Squamata; Elapidae.
CAAUCAGCAAGCAUACUGC